Molecule: ribosomal RNA, 253 nt
Filed under: uncultured bacterium
Lineage: Bacteria
Description: partial 16S ribosomal RNA
Rfam family: Bacterial small subunit ribosomal RNA
Source: RNAcentral
UACGGGGGGGGCAAGCGUUGUUCGGAAUUACUGGGCGUAAAGGGCUCGUAGGCGGCCAACUAAGCCGGAUGUGAAAUCCCCAGGCUCAACUUGGGAACUGCAUCCGAUACUGGAUGGCUUGAAUUCGGGAGAGGGAUGCAGAAUUCCAGGUGUAGCGGUGAAAUGCGUAGAUAUCUGGAGGAACACCGGUGGCGAAGGCGGCAUCCUGGACCGGCAUUGACGCUGAGGAGCGAAAGCUAGGGGAGCAAACGGG